CUACUANUUGUCCGCCAAACAACUACCAGUAAUACUUAAAACUUAAAAGACUUGACGGUCCUUCACCCCAACCUAGAGGAGCCUGUUCAAUAACCGAUAAUCCACGAUUAACCCAACCACUUCUAGCCUAACAGNCUAUAUACCGCCGUCGCCAGCCUACCUUGUAAAAGAAAUAAAGUAAGCUAAAUAGUACAACACUAAAAUGACAGGUCGAGGUGUAACUCAUGAAAUGGAACAAAUGGGCUACAUUCUUUAACCGAGAAUACGAACAACACUAUGAAAUUAAUGUUUGAAGGCGGAUUUNGCAGUNNGAUAAGAAUAAAACACUUAACUGAACAUAAUGCAAUGAAGUGCGUACACACCGCCCGUCACCCCUGCUACCAC
RNAcentral lists this ribosomal RNA (384 nucleotides) under Craspedocephalus puniceus. Its description in RNAcentral is "partial 12S ribosomal RNA". Lineage: Eukaryota; Metazoa; Chordata; Lepidosauria; Squamata; Viperidae. The record is from RNAcentral.